Non-coding RNA from Amylocystis lapponica, 95 nucleotides. Lineage: Eukaryota; Fungi; Basidiomycota; Agaricomycetes; Polyporales; Postiaceae. The record is from the annotation of a GenBank genome assembly.
UGCCCCAUGGCUGAGUUGGUUACAGCGUCCGACUGUUAUGGAGUGCUUAAUGCCACGCUAUCGGAAGGUCGAGAGUUCGAGCCUCUCUGGGGCAG